This 206-nucleotide ribosomal RNA is filed under the name uncultured bacterium. RNAcentral's name for it is "partial 16S ribosomal RNA". It matches the Rfam family "Bacterial small subunit ribosomal RNA", at positions 568 to 774 of the family's 1533-position model. The record is from RNAcentral.
UGCGUAGGUGGCGCCGUAAGUCGGAUGUGAAAUUUCGGAGCUUAACUCCGAAACUGCAUUCGAUACUGCGGUGCUUGAGGACUGGAGAGGAGACUGGAAUUCAUGGUGUAGCAGUGAAAUGCGUAGAGAUCAUGAGGAAGACCAGUGGCGAAGGCGGGUCUCUGGACAGUUCCUGACACUGAGGCACGAAGCCAGGGGAGCAAACG